AUCUUCGCAUGGACGAAGUCUGACGGAGCAACGCCGCGUGAGUGAUGAAGGCUUUCGGGUCGUAAAACUCUGUUGUUAGGGAAGAACAAGUGCUAGUUGAAUAAGCUGGCACCUUGACGGUACCUAACCAGAAAGCCACGGCUAACUACGUGCCAGCAGCCGCGGUAAUACGUAGGUGGCAAGCGUUAUCCGGAAUUAUUGGGCGUAAAGCGCGCGCAGGUGGUUUCUUAAGUCUGAUGUGAAAGCCCACGGCUCAACCGUGGAGGGUCAUUGGAAACUGGGAGACUUGAGUGCAGAAGAGGAAAGUGGAAUUCCAUGUGUAGCGGUGAAAUGCGUAGAGAUAUGGAGGAACACCAGUGGCGAAGGCGACUUUCUGGUCUGUAACUGACACUGAGGCGCGAAAGCGUGGGGAGCAAACAGGAUUAGAUACCCUGGUAGUCCACGCCGUAAACGAUGAGUGCUAAGUGUUAGAGGGUUUCCGCCCUUUAGUGCUGAAGUUAA
Molecule: ribosomal RNA, 501 nt
Filed under: Bacillus sp. (in: firmicutes)
Lineage: Bacteria; Bacillati; Bacillota; Bacilli; Caryophanales; Bacillaceae
Description: bacterial SSU rRNA
Rfam family: Bacterial small subunit ribosomal RNA
Source: RNAcentral